GUCUCUGUAGCGCAAUCGGUUAGCGUGUUCGGCUGUUAACUGAAAGGUUGUUGAUCAAGCUUACGCAGGGACG
RNAcentral lists this transfer RNA (73 nucleotides) under Danio rerio (zebrafish). It matches the Rfam family "tRNA". From Rfam's summary of the family: Transfer RNA (tRNA) molecules are approximately 80 nucleotides in length. Their secondary structure includes four short double-helical elements and three loops (D, anti-codon, and T loops). The record is from Rfam by way of RNAcentral. Lineage: Eukaryota; Metazoa; Chordata; Actinopteri; Cypriniformes; Danionidae.